This 913-nucleotide ribosomal RNA is filed under the name uncultured archaeon. RNAcentral's name for it is "bacterial SSU rRNA". It matches the Rfam family "Archaeal small subunit ribosomal RNA", at positions 1 to 921 of the family's 1478-position model. The record is from RNAcentral.
UUCCGGUUGAUCCCGCCGGAGGCCAUUGCUAUCGGUGUCCGAUUUAGCCAUGCGAGUCGCACGUUCAACGUGGCGAACGGCUCAGUAACACGUGGUCAAACUACCCUACGGACCGUGAUAACCCUCGGGAAACUGAGGCUAAUAACGGAUGUCGCUCCCGAGCUGGGAUGCUGGGAGCGAUAAAGCUCCGGCGCCGUAGGAUGUGACUGCGGCCGAUUAGGUAGACGGUGGGGUAAUGGCCCACCGUGCCGAUAAUCGGUACGGGUUGUGAGAGCAAGAACCCGGAGACGGACUCUGAGACAAGAGUCCGGGCCCUACGGGGCGCAGCAGGCGCGAAACCUUUACACUGCACGCAAGUGCGAUAGGGGGACACCGAGUGCGAGGGCAUAGAGCCCUCGCUUUUGUGCAUCGUAAGGUGGUACACGAAUAAGGGCUGGGCAAGACCGGUGCCAGCCGCCGCGGUAACACCGGCAGCCCGAGUGAUGGCCGCUUUUAUUGGGCCUAAAGCGUCCGUAGCCGGCCGUUCAGGUCCGUCGGGAAAUCCACUGGCUCAACCAGUGGGCGUCCGGCGGAAACCGAUCGGCUUGGGACAGGGAGACCAGAGGGGUACGUCCGGGGUAGGAGUGAAAUCCUGUAAUCCUGGACGGACCACCGGUGGCGAAAGCGCCUCUGGAGAACUGAUCCGACGGUGAGGGACGAAAGCUGGGGUCUCGAACCGGAUUAGAUACCCGGGUAGUCCCAGCUGUAAACAAUGCUCGCUAGGUGUGUCGCAGGCUACGAGCCUGCGAUGUGCCGUAGGGAAGCCGAGAAGCGAGCCGCCUGGGAAGUACGUCCGCAAGGAUGAAACUUAAAGGAAUUGGCGGGGGAGCACUACAACCGGAGGAGCCUGCGGUUUAAUUGGAUUCAACGCCGG